UAUUAUUGUGCUGUUAUCAUUAGUAUGAAAUAUAUGCUAUGAACAGCUAUUAUUAUAUAUCUAUUAUUAAAAUAAAUUCCCAGAAACGUUAACAGUGGUGAAACGGGAUUUUGCAGCAUUUCUUGUAAUUCAUACUUUCUUGUGUAACAGGAUGGUAUCAGGAGUACUAAAUAUAACUUUUCUACAGUUUGAUCUGUGGAAUACAUAUAAGUAGAAAUACUUUGGUGCAGAUUAGGUGGAACAGAAUGGAAAAAUAGUUUGAUUUAAUUGUAAAUGCAUUUUGUUGUUGUUUUGAAGUUUAUGCUCAAUUAAUGAGAGUCUUUUACUUUUUAGGAAUCUAGUACUUUGGGGGAGAAGAGUCUCAGUCCUGUGAGGCUGUACUUGAAAAAUCUUCUGUUUCAGUUUGCAGGUGUACUCAUAUGCAUGCCUUAAUUAUGGAAUUUUCAUGUGUGUUGUAAGUGGAAGUUUUCUUACUUGGUACCUUUAUGGAGGAAAUAGGUCCAUGAAGCAUUCUGGAAUAUUCUCCUGCCCACUCCCCCCCCCUUUUUUUUUCCCCCCUUUUCUCUUUUUCAAUCGAAUUUUUAUGGAAUUACCUUUUGUUUUUUUUUACAACAUUGAUAUUGAUAGAAAAAACUAUAUUAAAUACUAAUUAUUUUUCCAAAACUGAUUUAAACUUCAUGUUUUGAAACAUAAUCCUUACAACAGCAGCAAUUGUAUUGUACUGUGAGCCACUAGAGAGAGAAGAAUUAGCUUUCUGUUUUUAUUGAUAGGCCACUAAUUGCUCUGUUUACAUUCUACAUUUGGCAAGUCUAGUUCCCUUCUAUGAUGCCUUUAGGUUUUGUUACUAUGAGAGAAAUCUAGCAGCACAAUAUUUGGAAUGUUUUUUGUGUGAGGAAAAAUGUUGCAUUAGUAAUCCCAUUCCUUGUUUGUCAGGAAAAUAAUUAAUAUUAAUAAUUGAAUAUGCGUCAUGAAAAAUAGCGGCAAAACAGUGUCCUGAAGUUUAAAUCAGUAGGACUUCAGAAAUUUGUUCUUUGCUUCUGUGCUAACAAAGUUUUUAUUUGUAUUACUGUGCUUUUCUGAAGAAAACCAAGAUGACUGAUGAAAGGGUUAGUACUAUACUCCUUUAUAUGUUUGUUUGUUUGUUUGUUUGUUUGUUUCGAGGUAUAGUGAAGUUAAAAUUAACCUAAUAAAGCAUAGGGUGAUUGAAGGUAGUCUUUGCCUUGUCAGGUCCUCUAGUGUAAGACCAUCACAAUGGUUCUAAUUUUGGAAUGUAUCUGGCAGAGCAAUAAUGAAAGGAAAACGGUGCCACCACAGCCUAGACCCUAAAACCUUACAAUCUGUGAUGACUCCUCAACACUACACUCAUGUAAAUACAAUUUAAAUCAACCACUAGAAUCUGGACAUUUGUCAAGAAGUUAGACCGUCCUUUGCCUGUUAAAGAAGUGAGUCCCCUUUGCUAUUCUCAAAGCUGAAAUAGAAGGGAGCUCUUUAUCCCACCAAGAGGUAACAUGAAGUUUUGGCAUUUGCUGUUUAAGUUCUUCAAAGUAAAUUUCAGCUUAUCCCUUUGAAUCCACUGGAACAAAGAUUUGCGUAGAACUUUUGUAGUCAAGACAAUGUUCUUUCAUUUCAACUUGAAGUCCUUUAUUGGUAGGCAGUUCUGAAAUGGCUUUUUCAUAGGUGAAUUGUGAACUGAUGUCAACUGAUUUCAUAGAACUUUUGAUUUAUCCACGGGUACUUUCUUACCUUUAGAGGAAAAAAAAUCCUGAGGAACUGAAACUGAAUCUAUGUAGCAGGACAUAAUUUCUGAAGCAAGGUCACUACAGAGCUAGUUCUGGGCAAAAUUUACAACUUCUCUGUAAAUGUGAAGAAUCCACAUAAACCUCCUAUAGAUAUGUUUGUUUUAACAACAAUAACCUGAACAUCUUAAAUUUUAUUUUUUAUUGGAAGGAAUGCUAAAGAAAUUAAACAAAUAUAGUUCCUGCCUGCCAAAUUAAAUGGUGCUUUUCAGACAGAAACAGGGAGGGCAUAACCUUUAUUUUCCUUCAAAAUUUCCUCAGCCAUGUGGUCAAAAUAAAACAGGACUAGCGUAAUAAUAAAGCAAGGGCUUUUUGUAGCUUUUAGUGGUGCGGCUUGAUGAUUCAUGAAGAUUUACGUUUCAGUACCUGAAAGUGGGCUGAUGGCUCUACAGAGAAUAGAGGAAUACAUAUUUUCUCCAGACCUGCUGUGGCUGACACAAUUAUGACACACUAAAGGAAGGUGAUAUGCUAUUCAGUAUCACCUUUAGUCCUCCUGCUAGGGCCUGUAAACUGUGGUUAGUCAGCAACUUUCUCAGCAAAAGUCUUCAAAAAGAAUGGGAAUGGAGGGGAACAGGAGGCUUCCUGGACAAGCUGAUGUUACCAUGUUGACCAGCGAAAACAAGGAUGGUGAAUGAUUGACCCAACUAUUAACAAGCUUGCAUGAGCUUGAGGAGGCCACGGUCAGUAGAUAUUUGCUUUUGAUAAAAUAUUUAAGGAUUUUGGCUUGUUUCUAUAUAGAGAUUAGGAAAAAGGAAAAGUAAAGAAAAGGGAAAAAAAAAAAAGAAAAAGAUCUGUGACCUAGCACGAGUGUUUUCUCUCUUAGUCUUUCUUUUCAAUGACAGUGAUGUCAGAGCAAACAUGUUCUUCCCAUACACGGACUAGUUAUUUUUUAGUAAGACUGAUUUGGAGCAGCAUGCAAAUUCCACCAAGUGAUGGAAAACAUUAUGUUUUUUUUAUCCAUAAUCAUGUUUCAGAAGCAUUUAAAGGCCUCCAAUGAAAUCAAGAUUGUCCUAUAUGUAAACACUCUAAAACCACAUUAUUGUGAGUCAAACCUUGCCCUCAAGAAGUGCUGGCAGAGCCUCAGGUCUCAUGUGUCCCAGUGCAGUGUCCUAGCAAGGCUGCAUCUAAUUACAAUGUACACAAGCAGUAUUACUCUCAAUUAAACUUAAUUAGAGUUAGCAUAAUUCACAGAAUUCAAAAGAGGUUGGAUUCUCACUUUAUAAAAGCAGGCAAGACAAUGGGCAUUUUUUUUUUUUUUAAACUUUACCAGGAAUAGAAUGACCUUAAUUCUCAGCCAAGAACAUUCCAAGUGAGCUAACAGCAGGAAACACAUCCACUGUUGAGAUCAUCUCUGCAAUCAGAUAACAAUUUGUUUCCAUUUGUGAAAGUCAUCCAUCCUCAUUUAAAGACAAUAUUAGUGUACAGUAUGUUCACAGCAUCUUUUAAUAUCCCAGUGUGAAGGACAAGAAAAGAAUUUCAAGAACCAGGACAUACCUGCUUUAAAAAAUGUUAUAAAAUGAUGCAAUACUGUUUUUGCAAAAUAAUGACAUCAUGAAAUGUCACAGAAUUUGUAGAUGUUAUUCUAACUUUAAAAUCUAACUUUGAGUUUCUUCCGCUUUUCCCCACAACUUAACUCCAUAUUUUUGCCAACUAUAGGGCUGCAUGCAGUUCAACCCCGUUAUGCAUUUGGAAUCAGAAAUCAUUGUUCAGGAAAUCAAUCAAGACAUUAUCAAACUGCCCAGAAUUGUCAUGUGUAAUUAAUUGGAAAUCAGAGAAACUGCAUUCAAAAACAAUUCAGGAUACCUGUGCAAAAGAAGCAGUACUGCUCUUCUGGUAAAUUUUAAUUUUGAUACAUUCCAUCACGCAGUCUCUUCAGAUUAUGUAGACUGGGGUCAAGCAUAUAAUGAGUGCUAAGGGAGGCAACAUUUUCUGCACAGCACCACCUUAAAGCAUGUAUGAAAGUGUGCCUUUAGCUUAAACUGCUCAAGGAGGUGGCUGUGCUAUGGUAGCUGGCUGUGAACUGGAGUGACAGAAGUGUAAGUGUAUUCCUCUCUGUCUUUGCAUGGCCAAGUGAGGCAAUUUCUUUAACUGCUUCUCCUACAUAUGCCCAUGGAUGCUUCUCAGAUCAUGUGGAUAGAUGGAAAUAAGAAAAAAACUGUUACGGUCUCACUAAUUUGUAUGAAAUGCUUUUCAAGAUAAUUACUUGUAAUUUUUUGAAGAUCAGUCACAGAAAGUCUGGAGAAAAAUGAGAAGAGGUAACAGAAGAUAUAACAAAUCAGAGGUUGUGCUACAGAUGGUUUUCCUGUUUUCCAGGAUUCUGAACAGAACAGGAAGGCUCUACUGUUAGUAACUCUGAGCUCUUUCAAAUAAUGGAUAUAUCAGAAGACUGAAAGAAAGAGAAAUUAGGCAAAAAAAUACAAUUUCAGACUUAACAGGUCAUCAUGAUAACAGUGACUUGACACAAAGAAGGCUCUUUUUCCCAUUCUUUUAAAUCUCUUUGACUUGCUGAAUAUAAAGAUAUUUCUUAAAGGGAGGAAGCAACAGCCUUUUUUUGGUUGAUACUGCUGAAGAAGAGGUGAGCUGCUAGGUCCCAAAAGACUUAACAGAUCAAAGACGAUUUCAGUGCCAGUUGUGGAAAAAGGAUUUGGAGGAUGCUGGCCAGUCUGUUCUUAAUGUGAAUUGAGGGAGAAACAUGCUUGGCUUUUAAGGGACUUAAAGCUAGACAGGCCAUAUGCCUUUUUGAGUAGUUUUUAUUUUCUUAAAAAUCAACCUUUCUUAAUCUCCUAAUUGAAUAAUUAGACUUUUAUUAUUUUUUUCUAACUUUAUUGUUGUAGGUCUAAUUCUGAGUUUACAAUGACAGCAAUUUUGGAGUAAUUCUACCACGGUAAAAGCAACUGUACCAGUGCAGAAACACUUGCAGAGAGUUGAUAAUCAUUAUGUUUAAUUGCCUAUUCAUUUUCUUUCUGCGGCUCUAUGCCUGUCUCUACCACUCUGUUUUUUUUGAGAGAACAUCUUUGCCUCACGUUAAUGUGGAUAUUGAUUAGCUUUUAGGUACCACCGAGUGUGUUUUAGGGCUCAAGUAACUAUUCUGUCAAAGUGUGCCAGGUAGAAGUUGCUACAUGGCCACAAAUUGUUUGUAGUAUUUAUCAAAGGAACCUCAGUAAAACUCAUUUUACAUUAAUAAUAUUGUACAAUAAUGAAAUGACUGACCAUAUUCCCAUGAGCUUUUCUGUGAUGAACUUUGUUCUACAUAUGGAAAUCUCUUUUAGUGAAGUUCCAACUUUUGUCCUAUCAUGACUUUUGUGCUUUCAAAGUCUUGUAUUUGCAGGUACUGAACUUAUUUCUACAAGGCAGUGUACAGGCCUGAUGAUUAAUUAGAGAAUUAGUGACUGAAUGUUAACAAAGGCUACCACUCCUGCUAUCUCAACUUUCUUAAUUUUAAAAGUUACAGAAAGAAAUAUGUGUGUCCAGGCUAUAAAGUGUAUACAUGUAGUCAAACUGCACAUGAUCCAUUUUCAGUUGUUUUCACACUCUAUUUUUGCCUCUGGCUGCUCACUGCAAUAUCCUUCUUUUCUCUGCAUUCCUUUAGACAUUCAGUUCUGAUGUUUCAAGCUUGAAGUUUCUCAUUGUGUGAGUAAAACUGACUAGGCACAUGAGUAUUUCUAGUCUUGGGGCAUUCUUAUGUUUAUCCUCAUGGGUCCCUUUGCUGUUUGCUGUUGUGUGACUAAAUACACAAUUCUGGCUUUGAAAGUUUCUUCUAGGCCUCUGUAAGUACUGAAUGAACUGACACUACCAUGAACCAUGUGUGGAAUCAGUAUUAUUAGCUUGGUGCAAAAAUCAUUGCAGUUUUGGACUGUGAAUUUUAAAUCAUUAUAUGCAUCAUACGUAAAUCAUUAUAAAUAAUAUAUGCAUCAUAUAUAAUUAUAAACCCAUUAUAAAUCACAUAUACAUCAUAUAUAAAUAAUUAUAAACACAUCUUUACUGCUCAAAGCAGGAACCGUUACAAUCAAUACAUUUUUGCCAAUGAGAAUUAAGUUUGUUUAUUCUGUAGUGUAAAAAUCUGUGCUUUGGGAUUUGAUGAACUCUUGGAAAGCAUUUUCUGCAUCCUGCUGGUUGUGGAAGUGUUUUCCCUGCAAGAAGUUGUCAAGGUCCUUGAAGAAGUGGUAGUUGGUUGGCAAGAGGUCAGGUCAAUAUGGUGGAUGAGGCAAAACGUCAUAGCCCGAUUUGUUCAAGUUUUGAGGUGCUAGUUGUGUGGUCGGGCAUUGUCUUGUAGAAGAAUUGGGUCCUUUCUGUUGACCAAUACCAACUUCAGGCAUUGCAGUUUUUGGUGCAUCUCAUUGAUUUGCUGAGCAGACUUCUCAGAUGUAAUGGUUUUGCUGCGAUUCAGAAAGCUGCAGUGGAUCAGACUGUCAAUACAGCACCUAACAGUGACCAUGACCUGUUUUUGGUGCAAGUUCAGCUUUGGGAAGUACUUGGGAGGUGCUUCUUGGUCCAACCACCAAGUUGGUCAUCACCAGUAUAAAAUCCACUUUUUGUCGCAUGGCACAAUCCACUCGAGAAGUGGUUCAUUGUUCUUGCAUAGAAUAAGAGAAGAUGAUGCUUCUAAACAGCUUUUUUUUUUUUUUAAUUUUUGGUCAGCUCAUGAGGCACCCACUUAUCGAGAUUUUUUCACCUUUCCAAUUUGCUUCAAGUGACAAACAACCAUAGAAUGGUCAACGUUGAGUUCAUUGGCAACUUCUCAUGUAUUUUUAAGAGAAUCAACUUUGAUGAUUGCUCUGCAUUGGUCAUUGUCAACUUGGCCAACCACUACACUCCUCAUCUUCGAGGCUCUCAUCUCCUUUGUGUAACUUCUUGAACCACCACUGCACUUUAUGUUCAUUAGCAGUUCCUGGGCCAAAUGCAUUGUUGAAGUUGUGAAUUGUCACCGCUGCUUCAUAACCCAUUUUGAACUCAAAUAAGAAAAUCGAACAGCAAAUUUCAACAAUGCAAAAACCACAAUUCCUUUUACACCAAUCUAAAACAUUAAAACUUCUGGCUAACUUUGAUACCCUGUCUGUUUGAUAAAUUAUGUACUGUGACUAUUUUAUAACCUUACUGAAAUGUGUACACUGGCAGGAUAAUCUAAAUAGUUAUUUAGAACUUGCACAACCAGGAAUUUGACCAUUUCUAUGAUACAUUUUCUUUCUCAGAAAAACAAACGAACAACUUUCAAUCCGUUUGGACUAGGUGAUUCUCCACAGGAAAUGUUAGCCAAUUUAAAUCUCCAAUGUUCUUACCACUUAAGCAGAUAAAGAUCCACCAUUGAGUGCAGAACAUCAGGAGUACAUUCGAAGUUGAACACUGGACCACAACUUCAUUUUAAAAUUCAUAUGUUGUUUUCACCGCUUUGGAUGCCUGCCUGCUACCAUGAUCUGUAAAACUAAGAUCCACAGAAACUUAUAGCUAGAACCAAAAAGUGCCGUUCAGAAGACAUUGUUCAGAAUACUAGUCCUGAAAACACUAACUAAAUUACUAUGUGGUUCUACAGGAAUGAAAAUUCUGUCAUUACUGAAUAACAAGUUUUUUUCGGGUGCCUGAAACUUAGAAUCAGAAUCAUAUCAUAGAAUGUCCUGAGUUGGAAAGGACCCACAAGGAUCAUUGAGUCCAAUUCCUGUCCCUGCUUAUGACAACCCCAAAAUUCACACCAUGUGUCUGAGGGCAUUGUUCAAUUGCUUUUUGAAUACUGUCAGGCUUGGGGCUGUGCCUACCUCCCUGGGGAGCCUUUUCCAGUGUUCCACCACCCUCUGAGUGAAGAAUGUUUUCUUAAUGUCCAACCUAAACCUCCCCUGGCACAUCUUCCUGCCAGUCUCUCGGGUUCUAAGAUUGGUCACCAGACAGGCAUGCCCUGAGCCGUGACAUAUAUUGUUGCUUUGUAGUCUAGGAUUCCUGUUGCUUUUAUGACCAGCAAACUCCCUAGUCAUGAGACUUUAUACUCCCCUGAUACUUUUUAGCAGCUUGACUCCAGCUCUUUUUCCAAUGAACUGAUAGCCAAGCCCUGUGCCUUUUUCAGACUACCAGCUCAAGGGCGAUAAAUCUGGAAGCCCUGGUUAUUACUAGAAGUGUCUUAUUUACCUGUAUGGCAGACUUUGGCUAGCAGUGCCUUGACAGUAAUAUUCUGUGAUGGUGAUGCAGGAAGCACAAGGGACUCUAGAUGUCCAAGCAGGCUUCUAAGAGUCAGCUGUUCUAAGAUUUGCUGGCAAGUUGCCAAAUAUAUAUAUUUGUGUUGAAAAGGUUCAGUUGGUUUGCUUGCCUUUUUUUUUUUUAAUCUGAUUUUUAUUCUUAAGGAUUUUUUUAAGGAUGACUGCUUCUGAAUGUGUGUCCUAUUUGUUACACAUACCCUAGUGAAAAAUCUAAAAAUAUCUUAGUUGCAAGAGUCUGGAAACCCAUGAUUUGCCUUACAAGUACUCCUGUUUCUUAGAGAGAAUUUAUUUGCAACAUUAAAAAAAGCGUUGGAAAAUCCACCCCCUUUUGUACUCUUUUUAGUAUUAAGAAGGUCAGAAUAAGGCUACUCAGGGACCUGCAGAAUUUUCAUGGGCCCAUUUUCCAUUACUGAGAGGUAUUAAGAAACAUCUUUUUGUUGUUUGCAGAGCAUCAGAACAGACUCUGACAAAUGCAAAAGAGAUGCCAACCUGAUUGAUAAGAAGAAAAUAAAAGAGAAAAUGAAGGUCUGAAAGGAGAAAUAAAUGAAGCACCAAUUUAUAGGCAUUUCUGCUGCUGCUGAAUGGUCCCAGUUGUCAGUACAGCUAGUGCUGAUCAGGUCAAAAUUCUGAUUUUCCUUCUGUCAACAUCAAGGUAUCUGGAGUAUUCUCCAGGUUUUGGGCAUCUCCCUUCAACUUUCCAUGGACUCUUUUGCCACCAGUCACUGCAGCAGAAGUGAACUUCAGUUAAAGCACACUUUUUACAUUUUCAGACUUCUUUUUUUUUUUUUUUUUUUUAAAUGUAAGUAAGGGGAUCAUCAAUGCUUACAGAGGAAAUUCUGGCCAGAGUAGUUACAGGCAGUGAAAACUAGGUAGGGUUCAUUCACUUCCACUAUAUUAUUUAGCAGAACAUAGUUGGUAUUGUUACUAAGUAAGGCUCAGUGACAUAGUUUAUUUUACUUUAUCAGUUUUGAAUUGACCCUAGGAUAAAUGCUGCUAUGACAGUAAAACCUGGUAUUUCUGAAGACAGCUGGUUUUGAUUAUAGUAAUUACUAUUGAAGGCAUUGUAGAACUUUUUCUUCAUGGUUUUACGUGGAAAGGUACUGAACGCAUGUCAGGUGCUUUUGCUAGUUGAAAGAGUGAUAAAUGCUGCCUGGAGCAGGCAUAGUUUAAAACGCUGGUGUCUCAGAGAAUCUGAAACAAGAAGUGAGCCAUAACUUUUAUUGUGAAUAUUUUCAGAAAAUGGCAGUGACUAAAUGUCAUGGUUCUAAAAAACAGCUUAGUCUUCCUGUUUAGUCAGUCAGCUCAUUGUUAAGUCAUUAACAUCAUUUGGGAUCCAGUCUCUGACUUCCAGAUAGGCUGUUGAGGCCUGUUAUUUUGAUAGCUGAUUUUCCUCCUCAUCAUUUUAUUUAUAUCACCAGCCACACGAUGGCAGCAAAUUAUUAAGUAACCCCAUUUGCCUCUUCUAGCAUCAAAAUAGCACAGUAACUAACCUCUUCAAGAUUUUACCCUAACCAGAGGAAAUCCAAAGACAAGCUGGAUCAAUCCUAGGUACAAAUAAUGAUGCUCAAGGAAUAAAACCAUAGCUCUGUGUGUGUUCAUCUGUGAAUAUUGCCUUGCUACCUUGUUAUGUAUAAAACACAUACUUGUACAUUAGAUGUCAGUGUGAUUUAGAAGUAUUAGCUCAAUGAAGAAAAGACAUGAAAUCACUUUACUUUAUAAACUCAUAUUUUGUUAUUAUUUACAUAAUCACCACUCUCAAAUGAGAAAGAAAUUCAGUACAGUUAUGUUAAUCCUGAUAAAACAUAGAUUAUACCAAAUUGUGAUCUCUGUGCUUAAAAUUUGAAAAAAAAAUGGAAUAGAGAUAUCUUACUGACAUUCUUAAGCCUGUGUACAUGAAGAAGUUUUACAUAAUAUAGCUGUAAUACAGAAAAAUAAAAAUACAUAAACCAGAUAUACAUAAAAGACCAUACCUGGAGAGAAGGAGGAGUGUAUUGUCAGAAAAUAAAGGGAAUAAUAGAGGAAUUUAGCCGAAGACUUUGUAUAUUUUUUAAUAAUUCUCUCAUUUUUCUAGUCAAAAGCUAUGUAUACAUAUACAUAUAUAUAUGUAUCUAUAUUUGUAUUUAUAUUCCUGUAGGCUUUAAGAAAGGGUCACAGAAAUUAAAAAUUAUAGCAGAGCUACACAUUUUCUCUGAAAUGUUAGAUUUCUGAAUAUAGAAUUUUUUAGUUCAUUCCAUGAAGAAUAUUUGGGUUGAAUCAAACAGCUCCAAUGUCGCAAAUAAAAAAUGUAUAACUGGUAAUUUCUGAUUGUAAUUUUAAUUCAGCUCACUUAUUAUUUUGUUAAUGACCUCUGCCAUUAAUAGUGCUGUGUCAGUAAAAUUGUACAAAUCAAAUUUUGUAGAGUGUAUCUAAAAUUUGAUGAAAAACCAAAUGGGGUGCCAACCAGAAAAACCUUGACAGGUUUGCAGAGUGGGCCCAUGUGAAUCUAAUGAACUUCAACAAGGCCAAGUGCAAAGUCCUGCACUUGGGUCAAGGCAAUCCCCAAGGUCUAUACAAACUGAGGGGUGGUGAAUGGAUAGAGAACAGUGCUGUGGAGGAGGACUUGGGGGUACAUACAGGUGGAUGAAAAAUUCAACAUGAGCCUGCAAUAUGCUCUUGCAAGCCAGAAAGCAAAUCACAUCCUGGGCUGCAUAAAAAGAAACUUGGCUAUCAGGACAAGAGAGGUCAUUCUUCCUCUCUACUGUUCUCACAAGACCUCACCUGGAGUACCAUGUGCAAGAAAGACAUGGACUUGUUGAGGAUGUGGACUCUCAAUACAAGAAAGACAUGGACUUGUUGAGGGUGGUGAGACACUGGAACAGGUUGCAAUAUAUAUAUCAUAAUAUAAAAUGUGUUAUAAUAUGAUGGAGUUGUAAUUAGAGACUACAUGAUGGAGAACAGUUCAGGAUUAAUGAGACCUUCCCUCUUAAAUGUAUGUAUUUCCUAAUUUAAUUUUAUUAAAUACAUCCUUAACAGACUCAAGUUUAUUCAGCUUCUAAGAUCAUAACAUUAGGCUUAGUGUGUCUUUUCCACAAAAACCUUAAUUACAAAGAUACUACUGAUGUCAGAAGGCUUUCACCAAGUGGACGCUACAAUCUUUUGGCAAAUUGUUACCCUCAGGUAACAAAAUUACGGAAUUUUAUAACUUAGUCUAUUUUGUUAAUUUCAUAGUAUUUUUAAUUAGCAAGAUUGUUUUCAAUUUAAAGAUUAAGGUUUGGUGGGUUUUUUUUUUGUCUUGCUCUGUUUCCCCUUAAUCAACAGAAGAUUCUGUUGUAGAUUUCAAUAGCAUGCCUCUCAAGUGCACAUGGUCUGUAGAGACUGGAACUACAAUUCUGUGUUUAGUAGAAAACCUGUAAGGUAAGAUGAUCGCAAUCUGAAUGAACUACUGAAAUUUGAAUCAGGUGCCACAGCUGUGAGCAUAGACAUGCUUGUGAGUUUUGUAGCCAAGUGGAGCUUCCCACAGUAUUUAGUGGCUGCUCAGUGUAAAUAUAUUCUCUUUUUCUUAGAUUUUAAAUUAGAUUUAAAUUUCAUAAUUUCAGUGUGCUUAUAGAAAUAUUUCUCAUUGUUAUGUCUAAAAAAAAAAUCUUUCUCUGUUUUUUACAACUUUUGUAGUGGAGAUUUUUGUCCAUGUUAGUUGCAUAGAUGAUUAGGGAAACCUGUGCUAACCUAUGAAAUUAGUAGGUUUCCAAUAGAAUUUGGGAGUUACAUCUCAAAACAAUAAACUGAAUUCUAAUUUGACAGUGUUGUGUGUCUGUACUGAAAUUUGAUGAAAUAACUGUUUAUCAAAGUUAACAGGUGUUACCAAAUGUACUGUUUAUUUCUUGUGUGUCAAACCAAAUAUACUACAGUGUUAUUACGUGUGUUAUGGUCAAUAUGCUUCUACAGAUUCUAAUGAUAGGAGUUUUCUCAUUUCAGUGUCUUUGUAACAUUUCUUAAUGUUCAAACCUAUGUGUAAUACACUUCUAAGAAUUUUAACUUAGUUGUCUGUAAACAUCAAAUUGUGAAACGGCUGUUCCAAAGUUAAUGGCAUAUCAUUUAAAACAUGUCUGAUUUCCAAACCUUUAUUUUGGGUUUCUCUUAUGUUUUUGAAAACUUCCUGUCAAAUGAAAAAUGGGAGAAACAUUUUUUCAGAAAUAUCUCAGUACAGCUGGAUUAUGACUGGACUCCACGACAUGGAGGUCUAAGCAGACCUAUCUUGUCUUGGCAGACCUGCUUGGAGGCUUUUUAUCUUGAAAGCCAUAAAGUUAAUAGGAAAAGUAUAGAUCCGUAGUUAAAUAAGUGUUCUUGUCUGUUUUAUGGAAUAGUUCAAAAGAUGGCUGAAGCUUCAAAUGUCCUGAUAAAAAUAUUAAAAAAUACCUUUUUUUUUUUUUUUUUUUUUAAUCUGUAAUCAACUGAUAAUAAAUAUUUUGGAACAAAGUUCAGGUAUCUAAAUUGAUGGGGAGCUAAUACAUACAUGUUGUUUUACAAAUUAAUGCAGUGAGAAUUUUGAAUAUGCACUUUUAUUCAAAACCAUUCAUCUAUUUCUUGUAAUAAUAAACUCUACAAAACCCUUUCUUAACAUUCUUUUGAAGAAGGUAAAGGAAAAUGUUCUUACUCAUUCUAAGUCCAAUCUAUUUUAAAUUAUACCUCUUCACUUUUCCUUUUUUUGUGAUGGGACAGGAAAAGCAAUUAACGUUUCAAGUGAUCUCUAAGGGAUUUUUAAGAUUACUUGCUUGUAAGUUUUAAUUUGCUGUGAAUUACAGUAAAUUGCACUUACUGUCUUCAUCAUUCUCAAAGAUUAAACCAAUGCUACCUCUGACUAAUUUUGACUCAUCUGUAACUUACAUUUUCUUUCCAAAGUGGUUUCUGAAUGUUGUUUGAAAAAUCAGUCAUAUUUCUUGGUAAUUGGUUAAGGAAAAUAUUAAAAGAUAAGAAACAAAUUGGUAGGCUUGGUGAUUGUAAUAUUUUUAUGGGUAUUCUCAGUAAACAUGCUACAUAUGUGUGAAAGUUGCAAAGAGUGUCAGCUAAAGGGCCUGAUGCUUCUGGAAAGGAGAAAAAAAUCAAACAUUUAUUUUCCUGCUAUGGCAACAGCUAUUCACUGUCAGCAGGAACUUUCUUCAUGCAGUGUUUAUCGUAGCAAAAUGCAGAGGGCUUGGAUAUUUAUUUAUUUAUUUAUUUAUUUAUUUAUUUAUUUAUUUAGUGAGAUUUGACACAAUGGAUUAAAUGUAAUGGUUGUGAACUUUCCGUGAGCAAGCUGGCUGUGAUGAAACAUUUUAUGUGAAUCUUCCAUUUAGCUUCUCAUUUUUUAUAAUGACUCAGAGGAAGUAGCUGAUUUAGACUUCGAAUAGUAGUCACUCACUUUACAUAUCACCUCAUUGAAAGACUGGGCACACAAACACAGGAGUUGAUAACAAGUUUUCAGUAGCUUUAGGGAAAAGUUAACCUUUUGCCCUUUUAAGCAGAUUGUAUUUUUUCUUAAUAGUAAACUACCUUCCGUACUUUAGUACCUUGAGCUCUAAGAAAUAUGGAUCAUAUCAAAAUGGCAUUUUAGGCUAUUUCAUCUAGUGAGCAGCCUCAUAGGAUGGUUUGAUAAUUGCUGUAUGCAAAAAAAAUUAAAUGCAAUGUAUAAAAAUAUUAUGUUGCGAAUAAUGUUGCAUUUAAGCUGUUUACUUUAAAUGCUCUUGUUUAGAGAAUUACAAAUGCAAUACUUGCACUGAAGAUGGGGAAAGAGAGGGAAGUAAUAUCAUCCAGGAAAUAUCCCAGAAUUUGUUUAACUCAACAGGAUGGAAAUUUCAGAACAAUCAUGAAGGAAUGUGGAAAAAAGAAAAAAAAAGCUCUACAGUAUCACCAAUGGUAAAUCGCUAUGUAUAUGGUGAGCAAGUUUAUUUCAUUUAAAAUAUCUGAACAUGUGUAGAGAAAAUUUUGAAAAAAACAGCUAUAUUUGGAAAAAAAUGCUAUCUUUGGCAUUUUUGUGAUGCAUCUGGCAUUCAGCACCACGUGGAGGACAGGGAAUAAUGAAAUGCUAAGAAAGAUCUGUGCUGGGAGAAGUUAACAGUGGUAAGUGUCAGGCACUGGCUUGUAAUGGCAUAAGUUUGUAAAUGGUGAACCUGAAGGAAGAGUUUUGCAAACAUUUUUGUUUCAUAAUUUUGUUAAUGACCUUGGCAUUUAAAUAUAGAGACAUCUUGAUUAAACUAGUUUUCAGUAUAAGGAGCUAAUUUGAAUGACAUUGAGAAUGGAUAUAAAAGAAACGGGUUAAGACUGGAUAUGAUAAAACCAUUUUCUUAGAGGCUUAGUAAGAAUAACUGCUGGAGGCUUAGUGUCAAAAGCCUGUAUAUUUAGCACACACUGAGUGUGAGGAAGCCAUGAAAAAGUGAUUUAGAGUUUACUGUAUACUUCUAAUAGAAAUUAGAAAGACAGUAAUGCCAUCAUUCAAGGCUGUGCAAAAGCUGUGUGAAACUUAAAUAACUUAUAGAAAAUGCCUUCCAUGUAAAAAAGUGAUAUGGGUGUACUUAUUAGAAUGAUUAAGGGAAUGGAGAGACAAUUGUAAAAGAAUGGAGCAGAAGUUGUCUCGUUUGGUCUGACAAAGCUGAGGCAAAGAAGAGAGGAUAUAUUUGAGAGAAUUAGAAAAAACCUUAGUGGGGCGUGCACCAUCAGAGAAUGAAAGAUAUUUAAGCUAAAGGAUAGUGUUAGCACAAAAAGAGAUAUGCAGACUGGCUAGUAAUGCAUUUAUCUCAAAAAAAAAAAAGAAAAAAAAAAGAAAAAUAAAAA
Columba livia (rock pigeon) is the source of this 14758-nucleotide long non-coding RNA. RefSeq lists it as uncharacterized. The transcript has 3 exons. Lineage: Eukaryota; Metazoa; Chordata; Aves; Columbiformes; Columbidae. The record is from RefSeq and is a predicted model, not a curated record.